RNAcentral lists this ribosomal RNA (407 nucleotides) under uncultured bacterium. RNAcentral's name for it is "partial 16S ribosomal RNA". It matches the Rfam family "Bacterial small subunit ribosomal RNA", at positions 30 to 526 of the family's 1533-position model. The record is from RNAcentral.
AUUGAACGCUGGCGGCAGGCCUAACACAUGAAAGUCGAGCGGAGCGUAGGACGGGUGAGUAAUGCCUAGGCAUCUGCCUGGUAGUGGGGGAUAACGUCCAGAAACGGGCGGUAAUACCGCAUACUUACCGAUCAGCCUAGUUCGGAUUAGCUCGUUGGUGGGGUAAAGGCCUACCAAGGCGACGAUCCGUAACUGGUCUGAGAGGAUGAUCAUUCACACCGGAACUGAGACACGGUCCCGACUCCUACGGGAGGCAGCAGUGGGGAAUGUUGGAAAAUGUGCGAAAGCCUGAUCCAGCCAUGCCGCGUGUGUGAAGAAGGUCUUCGGAUUUUAAAGCACUUUAAGUUGGGAGGCGUUACCAACAGAAUAAGCACCGGCUAACUUCGUGCCAGCAGCCGCGGUAAUUC